Molecule: non-coding RNA, 71 nt
Organism: Heligmosomoides polygyrus
Lineage: Eukaryota; Metazoa; Nematoda; Chromadorea; Rhabditida; Heligmosomidae
Source: Rfam
UCAAGGGUGGUUCAGUGGUAGAAUGCUCGCCUGCUACGCGGGCAGCCCUGGUUCGAUUCCUGGCCGAUGCA